CUGUCUGAGUCCUCUGAACUAAAGGGAGCAGCUCUCUGUGGGCUUCCUGAGCCUUCAGGAGACACAGCUUUUUGCCUGAGAAGCAGUGGGCAGGGGAGCGCCCCAGUGCAGUGUCAAGAGCAACAGCUGGGGGACCAGAGCAGGGUGAGCAGUUUGCCAUCUCUCCAGUGUUCCUGGGACUCUGCGAUGCUCCUUGUUGCCAACCUGUGUGCAUCCUCACAGGAAGAGCACCGUUUGGUAGGGCCCUCUGCAACCCCCCUGGAAAGCUGGGCUUGCAUCCUUGGCUGAGAGACCAGCGAAGGUUUCCAGCACCGAGGAGAAAGCCCUACGAAGGACUUGGCGGGGGUCAGAGCACCUCAUGGGAGGAACUGCAAGAGCCCUGGGCCACUCCUCUGUGCUGUGACCUGAGGACGAAGUUGUGAGCCAGGAGAUGUGCCUUCACACUCCAGGAACCAGGCUGGAAGAGUUCCUUCCCAGGGCGGCUGUCCUUAGCCAAGGCUUGGGGACACCAGGGCCGGGGCGAGUUUGUUGGGUGUCAUACAAGCCACGCUUGC
This is a long non-coding RNA of Nannospalax galili (Upper Galilee mountains blind mole rat), 554 nucleotides long. RefSeq lists it as uncharacterized. Lineage: Eukaryota; Metazoa; Chordata; Mammalia; Rodentia; Spalacidae. The transcript has 4 exons. The record is from RefSeq and is a predicted model, not a curated record.